RNAcentral lists this transfer RNA (127 nucleotides) under Drepanopeziza brunnea f. sp. 'multigermtubi' MB_m1. RNAcentral's name for it is "tRNA-Pro (AGG) (tRNA-Pro-AGG-2-1)". The record is from RNAcentral. Lineage: Eukaryota; Fungi; Ascomycota; Leotiomycetes; Helotiales; Drepanopezizaceae.
GGUGCAUUGGUCUAGCGGUAUGAUUCUCGCUUAGGGUGCGAGAGGUGUAAGUUCAUCCAAUUCACGUAUGCUAUACAUAAGCCAUACUAACAUAACACCAGCCCCGGUUCAAUCCCGGGAUGCGCCC